This 720-nucleotide long non-coding RNA is filed under the name Populus trichocarpa (black cottonwood). RNAcentral describes it as "long non-coding RNA (PTRI_LNC002120)". The record is from RNAcentral. Lineage: Eukaryota; Viridiplantae; Streptophyta; Magnoliopsida; Malpighiales; Salicaceae.
UGAAAUUCUGAACAUAUUCAAAAACUAUGUUACAAAGACAUCAAUAUUGGAUGACUUCGAUUUUUAUGAGAGUCGCCAGAAGGUGAUGCAAGAGAAAAGACCAAGGCCAUUCAUACCCCAUUCUGAUCACAAACAGGUUAGUCUCAUACUGUUUUUCGUAUUCUUUAUUAUUUAGGUAGUGCACACAUUCUCUCAUUAGAGUUUUAACCCUUCAAAUCUUUUUUUUUUCUUUGGUGAGUGGGCAUUCAAUAGUGGACCAUGUUGUCAUUAUUAUCAUUGGAGGUUUGAUAAUUAUAUUUGCUGUUAGAAUCAAUGGCUAAUAGCGUGAAGUUGUUAAUCUUAAGAUUCUAUAAUUGAUUCUCUUCCCUUAUAAAAUAUUAAAGAAUAAAGAAGGGUUCUCCAUACAACUAAGGUAGUGGAGAUGUUAUGUCUUUAAAGAUCUGGAAUUGGGAUUUGACUUUAUUCAAUUUUAAAAAAGUGUUAUAAUCAUGAUAGGUUUCUUUUUUUUUUCUUGUAACAUCUCCUUCAGACAUGCACGCCUUUUCUCUUACCAGUGUGUUAUUCUUAACAUGAUUUGCUUAUAUUUUUCACAGCAGAAAACAGAUGAUUUGAUUCCUGGUUUUCAGUCGAUGGAUAUAUCUGCUACAAAAAACAUGGUCUAUACCCAGGUUGGAGACAACACGAAAGAAUGACGGGAGAGAAGCCCUGAUGGACUCUGUU